This 120-nucleotide microRNA precursor is filed under the name Pelobates cultripes (western spadefoot toad). Lineage: Eukaryota; Metazoa; Chordata; Amphibia; Anura; Pelobatidae. The record is from RNAcentral.
AAUUGAUGUCUAUAAUUUUGAGCCAACCAUACUGUGUGUGUGUGUGUGUGUAUAUGUAUGUAUACACACACACACACACACACACACACACACACUAUGGUUGGCUCAAAAUUAUAGACA